GCGGAUGUCGUAUAACGGCGAUUACACCUGAUUGCCGAUCAGGAGAUGUGGGUUCGAUUCCCGCCAUCCGCUCCA
Molecule: transfer RNA, 75 nt
Filed under: Acanthopleuribacter pedis
Lineage: Bacteria; Pseudomonadati; Acidobacteriota; Holophagae; Acanthopleuribacterales; Acanthopleuribacteraceae
Description: tRNA-Gly
Rfam family: tRNA
About the family: Transfer RNA (tRNA) molecules are approximately 80 nucleotides in length.
Source: RNAcentral